RNAcentral lists this ribosomal RNA (170 nucleotides) under Alloclinus holderi. RNAcentral's name for it is "partial small subunit ribosomal RNA". The record is from RNAcentral. Lineage: Eukaryota; Metazoa; Chordata; Actinopteri; Blenniiformes; Labrisomidae.
CACCGCGGUUAUACGAGAGGCCCAAGUUGACUAACACUCGGCGUAAAGAGUGGUUAAAAUACCCUUAAAACUAAAGCCGAACGCUCUCAUAACUGUUAUACGUUUUCGAGAGUAAGAAGCCCCACUACGAAAGUAGCUUUACCAACAUUGACCCCACGAAAGCUGUGAAA